RNAcentral lists this ribosomal RNA (509 nucleotides) under uncultured bacterium. RNAcentral describes it as "partial 16S ribosomal RNA". It matches the Rfam family "Bacterial small subunit ribosomal RNA", at positions 28 to 523 of the family's 1533-position model. The record is from RNAcentral.
GACGAACGCUGGCGGCGUGCUUAACACAUGCAAGCCGAGCGAGAAAGCGGCUUCGGCCGUGAGUACAGCGGCGAACGGGUGAGUAACACGUGGGCAACCUGCCCCAGAGAUUGAGAUAACGUCCCGAAAGGGACGCUAAUACCGAAUAACGCGUGACCUGCCAAGUGGGUCACGCCAAAUGGUAGCCUCGGCCUCUGCUCUGGGAUGGGCCCGCGCCGGAUUAGCUUGUUGGUGGGGUAACGGCCUACCAAGGCGACGAUCCGUAGCUGGUCUGAGAGGACGAUCAGCCACACUGGGACUGAGACACGGCCCAGACUCCUACGGGAGGCAGCAGUGGGGAAUCUUGCGCAAUGGGCGAAAGCCUGACGCAGCAACGCCGCGUGAGCGAAGACGGCCUUCGGGUUGUAAAGCUCUGUCAGGAGGGACGAAGCCACUCGGGUGAAUAGCCCAGAGGGUGACGGUACCUCCAGAGGAAGCCCCGGCUAACUACGUGCCAGCAGCCGCCGCAG